RNAcentral lists this transfer RNA (52 nucleotides) under Metacrangonyx longipes. Its description in RNAcentral is "transfer RNA Arginine". The record is from RNAcentral. Lineage: Eukaryota; Metazoa; Arthropoda; Malacostraca; Amphipoda; Metacrangonyctidae.
AAAAUAGAAUAAGUUUGACUUCGAAUCAAACAAAGACUGAAGUCCUAUUUUA